Long non-coding RNA from Biomphalaria glabrata, 4008 nucleotides. RefSeq lists it as uncharacterized. NCBI's taxonomy places the organism in Eukaryota, Metazoa, Mollusca, Gastropoda, Planorbidae. The record is from RefSeq and is a predicted model, not a curated record. The transcript is spliced from 2 exons.
UUUUGGUUAAUAUGUUCUCUGUCACAGUGUUGUGCAAGGGUUAUUAAUUAGUUUAAUAGAUGUUAUCAAAGCUCACCGAUAGACUUGACAGAGACCAGACAAAGGUUAGGACAAUGUCAGUUAGGUGUUUGUCUUGUAGAGAGACUGAUAUGUGGGUCGGGACAGACAUUAGCAAUGUUAGUUUAGGCGUAGGCUAGAUACUCAGCCUAUAUAGAGUAGAGUUUGGGGCAAUCGGGACACAACGCCAUGUAGUUUUAGCAGGGGCGUGUGUCGUAUGCUAGGCGUUUUCUGGUGAACGACACAUACAGACAUUGGGAGCAAGUCGCCGAGGUUGGCUCGCGAUCUUGGCUCCAAGAUGUGUGAGUUGUUUGCCAGAGACAACAUGUAGGAACUUUAAUUCUUAAGGACCAGGAGUGACAGUCUUGGCGACUGUCUGAGUCUUAGUGACAGUCUGACGGUCAGAGACGGUAGAUCUAUAUAUGGUGUAUCCUUGCCUGCUACGCAAGGGGAUAUCACUCUAGUAUUGAGCGGACUGUGACGUUGGGUUCCAGGAUCCGUGCAGAGACUAGAGAGAGAGAGAGAGAGAGAGAGACAAGAGAAAUGGAGAGUUCAUCGUGACCUACAGCCAAGUAUCAAUAUCUAUGUGAUUAUUAAAUUUUAAUUCUAGAAUCACAUGAGUAUUAUAUGUAAUUAUAGUUGUUAAUUAAAUAUUUAUUUUUCUUAUGAAAAUUUGUGUCCAGAGAUCAUGAUUUAUAUCAUUAUUGAAUAUUGUGGUCUUUAAUCCAUAGUAUUUUGUGAUGCGUGUGUUGUAUCAGUUAAAUUACAUCAGUAAGAAUCAUCCUAGACGUAUAGACAUCAAGAGCUGAUAUCAAGAUCUUGACAAUUGGGGCCUCGUCUAAAGUUUUAUUUUAAUUUUCUACGACACUUUAAUGAUGUCUGGGGGCUAAUGAAUAACUGGGACCUGUUAUUUUUCUUUAAGUGAAAAUACUUUAGUUAUACUUGAUAUAGUAUUGACAUUUAUUUUUUUAUCCAUCAUAGUAUUGAGAAAAUUGUAUUUUGCUUGUAAAGGUUUGGACGAAUAUUCACUGCUUAGAAUUAGCAUUAAGUAGAGUUUCUGUUUACACUUGUUGUAAUACCAUGAUUGUAUUUUUCAAGAUUUUUUUUUUUUCUACAUUUUGUUUUCUGCCUAGCAUUUGUUGUGGUACAGGUGAAUUGGCUGUUUGGCAGUGGACGUCACACAUGAUCUAUUUUUAGACUGUCACUCCUGAUUCCUGCGCCCAUUGUCUUGGGGCCUUCGUGUAUCCACGGUUUGAGGGUAACGUAGUUAUCUUCAGCGCGUGUUUUUUCAAUGUUUAGGUAAGCUGUAUGAUGUAGUGAGAUAGGUGUAAGUUUUCUUGUUUUUAUUUUUGAUAGGGAGCUUAGGGAUUUCAUAGAGGUGGGAUAGAAAGAGGUGGACAUUAUUUUUAAAGCAUAAUUACUGCACUGGGCAGUGUUACAUUUAUACUGUGCUUAUACUGUGUUUUUGCAGGCAGACAGGGGCGAGUUAUUGUUUGGAGAAGGUAGAAGGGGGUUGGACCUGUAUGUUCGCGUUGGGCAAACGUAUAGUGUCGUUGUCCUCAGUUAUUUUUUUUUCUUGCUUUUUAGCUUGUUAAGUUUUGUAGAUGGUUAGCCAGGUGAGCAGUACUGUUGGCCAGUUGUUUUUUUUGUUGCCAUUUUGGUGUUUUGAUAGGCGGGAUAGGGGGUUUGAGAGACAGACAAUGGCGUUGGGUCAUGUAGUGUCUACCCCACCCAUGUAUUUUAGUAAUGCCUAUCAAACCUUGUAGUUGUUAAUGGAAGUUUUGGAAUUUCGUUUCCAGUGCCAUGCCAGAGGGCAGGGACAUUUGUUUUUCUUCUCCCUCUUAGUUGAGGUCGAGCGUUGAUUUUUUUUACCUGGUGUGUCCUUGUUGUACGGAUUCAUGGUAGUUAAGUCACAGGGUGACGUAAUGAUUUUUUGUUGUUGCGGCAAGAGUUGUUUUUUUUUACAGUGGGUCUCGAGUUUUGUUGGGCCUGGUUUCAGUUUUUGUAUGCCGUCUAUUUUUUUAUUUUUUUUUGCUUGAACGUGUUGAUGAUAGUUGGCUAUAGCUCUAUAUAGAAUAUCCGACAUUAGGUAUGUCGUGGAUUUUUUUAUUUCAGUGAGAUGUUGCUGUGUUGACAGAUCAUCAGUUUAUCAAGGUCAUUUGAUUAGUUUGUUCAACGUUUGAUAUUACUAAGAUGUUAAAGUUUAGGCCUGACGAGCUUGAAUUGGUAUUGAUUUUUUUUUUACAUAGAUUUUUUUUUGUUGGCAAAUAUUUGAGCUUUAGCUGAGUUAUGGCGAUUAAUGUACACGCUAUCUAGGUAGUUCAGAAAAUUGACGUUUUAGGACAUUUGUAUCCAAGGUGGAACAUGAGUUGUUUGUUGAAGAGUCAAGUGAGUCCUUCUAAUGGAGGAGAGUGCAUAACAGACACUGAAGUAAAUGACAAAGCGUUGUUUUUUUUUUUAUACGACAUGUGUGAUGGACACUGGCAGUGAGUACAGCCAUUUUACAAUUUCUAUUCUAUUAUAGGGAUGCUAAUGAAUUUUGUAUUUUCAUUUUAUUAUCAUUAUGUUUUAGUUACUUAUAUAUUGAAUUAUACUGUUCUAUAUUUAGGUCGAAAAUAAGAUGCAAGUGGAGCUUGCAAUCCGAAAAACUUUGUCCAUGAUUAGAUGAUAUCAUUUUUCUUACUUUUAGUUUUAUAUUAAUUCGUGUUUUACUUGCACUCGAGAUUUGAUUGGCAGAAUUGCAUGUUCACUUUGAUGUAUAUUUUUUUUGUAAAUCUACUUGCAGAGAUUCAUGACUAUAUUAUUUGAUGUUUAAAGUUGAAGUUUGUGACAGUUGCAGUGCAGAUAUAUGAGAUGACGAUGUUCACAUGUUUGUUUUGAUUUUUUUUUCUUCUUAAUUACAACCACUUUGUUUAUGAUUUUAUAAUCUUAUUCCAGUGUGCUACAGUUGCCUAAAGACUUUGGUUAGCAAUGCUGCAUGUGUUCUAUAACAUUAUUUUUAUGUCUCAAUAUAGUUCCAGAAUUUGUUCUCCAAAUGUGAGAUGGUAGAGGCAGUUUAGUGAGUCGUAUUAGUGUGACUUUGGUUGCAAAUAUUGCAACAAAAGUCAAAGGAGAAGGGGAAGAUGUCACAGUGUUGUGCAAGGGUUAUUAAUUAGUUUAAUAGAUGUUAUCAAAGCUCACCGAUAGACUUGACAGAGACCAGACAAAGGUUAGGACAAUGUCAGUUAGGUGUUUGUCUUGUAGAGAGACUGAUAUGUGGGUCGGGACAGACAUUAGCAAUGUUAGUUUAGGCGUAGGCUAGAUACUCAGCCUAUAUAGAGUAGAGUUUGGGGCAAUCGGGACACAACGCCAUGUAGUUUUAGCAGGGGCGUGUGUCGUAUGCUAGGCGUUUUCUGGUGAACGACACAUACAGACAUUGGGAGCAAGUCGCCGAGGUUGGCUCGCGAUCUUGGCUCCAAGAUGUGUGAGUUGUUUGCCAGAGACAACAUGUAGGAACUUUAAUUCUUAAGGACCAGGGUAAGAAGAAAUGUUUUUAUUAGUUAUAUAUCUAGUAUUAGAUGUUAAUUGAUUAUGAAUAAAUAGAAUGGCGCUUUAGCUAGUUGUUAGCGAUAUUUUUGAUUAUUUGUCUAUUUAGAGUGACAGUCUUGGCGACUGUCUGAGUCUUAGUGACAGUCUGACGGUCAGAGACGGUAGAUCUAUAUAUGGUGUAUCCUUGCCUGCUACGCAAGGGGAUAUCACUCUAGUAUUGAGCGGACUGUGACGUUGGGUUCCAGGAUCCGUGCAGAGACUAGAGAGAGAGAGAGAGAGAGAGAGACAAGAGAAAUGGAGAGUUCAUCGUGACCUACAGCCAAGUAUCAAUAUCUAUGUGAUUAUUAAAUUUUAAUUCUAGAAUCACAUGAGUAUUAUAUGUAAUUAUAGUUGUUAAUUAAAUAUUUAUUUUUCUUAUGAAAA